Molecule: ribosomal RNA, 790 nt
Filed under: Tuber aestivum (summer truffle)
Lineage: Eukaryota; Fungi; Ascomycota; Pezizomycetes; Pezizales; Tuberaceae
Description: partial 16S ribosomal RNA
Rfam family: Bacterial large subunit ribosomal RNA
Source: RNAcentral
AAAUUUUUAGAUCUCAUUAAAAACUUACGUUAACUUCUUAUUAUUAAGUAUAUGAAGUAUUCGGGGAAUCGUGAAGAUUUUACUAGGUAGAGAAAUUAAUCUAGGAAUGGUAAUGAUGAAUGUUGAAUAAUCAGACAUAGAAUGCUAAGGUUGUAUGUCAAAAGGGAAACAGCCCACAACAAGUGUUAUAAUAAGGUUCCAAAAUUAUUAUUAAGUGAAAUCAAGGAAGUCUUUUGAUUUUAAUUCGAUCAGGAAAUAGGCUUAGAAGCAGCCAUUUUUUUUGAAGACCUCGUAAUAGAGCACUGGUUAACAAUGUAAAAAGGCAUUGAAAAUUUAACGGAUCUAAAAUAAUAUACCGAAACCUUGUCUAUAGUUAUAAAUAUUUAUAUUGUAUAACUAUAGGGUAGCGGAACGUAGGGGAUAUAAAAGAAUUUGUUCUUUUUAAGAAAAAAUAAUAUAACUCUAGUGAUAAUGCUAACAUGAGUAACGAUAAAGGCCAAUCUAUAGGUUGACCUCGCCUUAAGCUUAUGGUAUAGAUAAAAGUAACGGCCUCUAAGUUUAUUAACCUAAAGGACUAAACGAUGAGAAAACCUUGUUUAUAAAGUAAUAACCUUUAAAUUUUUAAACAUUCUGGGGUCGCACGCCCUCACUCUCUUUAGGAGUGAGUGAUCGCGCCCCAAUAGCUGAUGUAAAUAAUAAGUGAUGAAGAGUUCAGGAAAAACGAUAAACACUUAACCGUACCUAAAUACCAGCUCAGGUAAGCAAGUAGAGAAUACGAAGGCGUUGAGAU